This 847-nucleotide long non-coding RNA is filed under the name Manihot esculenta (cassava). RNAcentral's name for it is "long non-coding RNA (MESC_LNC004531)". Lineage: Eukaryota; Viridiplantae; Streptophyta; Magnoliopsida; Malpighiales; Euphorbiaceae. The record is from RNAcentral.
UGUACUAGACCACCUAGGACGUCGACACAUGCUCCUAGCUUGAGAGUGUCAAUGGGGCAAGUCUCUUGCUUUGGCGGUGGUGGUGGGCAUGGCACUGGAGGUGGUGGAGGAGGAGGGCAUGGCGUUUCAGUUGGUGGUGAUGGUGGUUUUACAGGUGGGGUCACUGGAGGCUUUGGUGGUGCUGGGGUUACAGGUGGACUUGGAUAGUAGGGUGGCGUUGGAGUUACCGGAGGCUUUGGUGGUAAAGUUGGUGGUGUUGGGACCACCGGAGGUUUAGGUGGUAAAGUUGGUGGCGUCGGGACCACCGGAGGCUUUGGUGGCAAAGUUGGUGGUGUUGGGGUCACCGGAGGCUUUGGUGGUAAAGUUGGUGGUGAUGGGGUCACCGGAGGCUUUGGUGGUAAAGUUGGUGGUUUCGGUGGGUAAACGAUAGGCGGUUUUGGAUAAUAUGGUGGCGGUUUUGGUGGUAAAGUUGGUGGUUUCGGUGGGUAAACGAUAGGCGGUUUUGGAUAAUAUGGUGGCUUUACAACAGGAGGUUUGGGUACCAAAGGUGGCGGCUUUACUACAGGAGGUUUUGGCACAUAGGGUGGGUGAACAAUUGGAGGCUUGGGUGUGAUAGGUGGUUUAGGCACAUGUGGCGGUUUGGGCGUGGUUGGUGGUUUCACAAUGGGUGGCUUGGGUACGUGCGGUGGUUUGUGGACAGGAGGCUUGGGUAUAUAGGGUGGUUUGUGAACAGGAGGCUUGGGUGGUUUUGGUGGUUUAUGGUGAGGAGGUGGCUUUACCUUUGGGGGAUGUUUGGGUGGAAAUUUGGGAGGAUAUUUGGGUGGCUUAGGUGGUGGAGUUGGGUAAG